RNAcentral lists this ribosomal RNA (253 nucleotides) under uncultured bacterium. RNAcentral's name for it is "partial 16S ribosomal RNA". It matches the Rfam family "Bacterial small subunit ribosomal RNA", at positions 524 to 776 of the family's 1533-position model. The record is from RNAcentral.
UACAGAGGGGGCAAGCGUUGUUCGGAACUACUGGGCGUAAAGGGCGCGUAGGCGGCCUGGUAAGUCGAGCGUGAAAUCCCCGGGCUCAACCCGGGAACUGCGUCCGAUACUGGCAGGCUUGAAUCCGGGAGAGGGAUGCGGAAUUCCAGGUGUAGCGGUGAAAUGCGUAGAUAUCGUGAGGAACACCAGAGGCGAAGGCGGCUACCUGGACAAUUGCUGACGCUCAGGCACGAAAGCGUGGGGAGCAAAAGGG